AAAGCAGCAAGGCCAUAAGCAGCAGAGCAAACAGCAGCAAAAUGUGUGGUAUUGCAUGUAUGUUCCCGCUGUCUCACACUAAAUCUUUCCUUGAAACAAGCCAAGAUCCCCACUGAAACAAUACUUAAAGGGUUUUGUUCCUUAAAUUGAUAUAUCAUAUUAAAGCAGCAUGACACGUUCUCUUUUAAAGUGAUUGACAGCCCAAAAUUGCCACUAAAGUUAUGGUUGUAUGUAAUUCAAGUCUUGAAGGUUAAAGAAUUAGAAGGCGGCUAUGUUUUCUUAUUGGACAUAUAUUUUAGUGUUUUUAAAUAACGCUCUUCUCGUAAAAUCUUCUUGUCCUGAUUGUGUCCAGUCGAGGGAUCUCAAGCCAGGAUGUACAGAAAUAUAAAGGACGUACAGUAAAGUGCAGCAGGAGGAACAUAGUGCAAACCCGCACUCAGCUUCAUGAAGCAGCAGAGAAAUCAAGAAUCAGCAGCUUGUGAAGAUCAGAGGUUCUCAAACUGUGAGAGGUAAAAGAGACGUGAGGCACAGCUCAUGGAGGCAGUUAAGGUGCAGUGCUGGGAUAACUCUAUCAGCACCGGAUCACGCUGCCCUCUGUGUCGGCACAUCGACCAACCAGUGGAAGUCCCUGGUGCACAGACAAGGACGCAAUCUCACCAGCUCCAAGCUGUGUUCGUUGGAGCACCGUCGGGGGGGUCGAACCUGGUGAACCUCUUAGCUACAAACAUCAAGUGUUAUAUUUUUAAAUUUUAUUUCUUAAUUUAUUUAUUUUUUACUUUCGUAUUCAUUCACUGUCUUGAAAUUUAUUUGUCUGCCUUUACUCUCCUUUUCCAUCUCCCGCUAAGGGAAGCCAGAGAAGUCCAGUCUAGAAUAAUAGCAGCACAGGGAAAUAUCUUGCACUUAUGGGAUUUGAGGAGGCUGUUAUGAAAAAGUAUUAGGUUCUGUGGGGUUAGAUGGGCAUGGGGAUUUUUUUCUAUUCAGGCUAGACAUUCAUAGUGUUUUUAAUUACACAAAGAAUCUGGUGUUGCCCCAGAUGAAGCCAACAGCAUGAAACUUCAAUUCCAGAGACUUGGCUGCAGGUUUUUACUUGUCUUAUGUUAAGGUUCAAAUAAAAGUAGCCCUCAGUGGCAUAAAAUGUGACGUUCUUUACUAGUUUCAGAUGGAGAUUUUACAAAAAUAUGAUGUCAAAUCCAUAAAGAAUGAAUCCUCUCAUAGGUCAGGUACUUUAUCUGUAUUUAAUAUGAAAGUCUUGGGAGAGUGAGGAUUUAAGUUUUCACAUUCCAGUAAAAUGAUUUAAUUUUGUACAAUUCUUUGUACUCGCAUGAAACUCUGACAUGUUCUGACAAGAAAUAAUGUAAUAAAACAUGAAAUUAUACAACUCAUCCAAACCAAGUCAAAAUAAACCACAAGCCAAAUGUUAUUUGAUCUUGGUUGUGGAUGACAUGUUUGUCUUAACAGCCACUUUUCUAGGAAACCGACCAUCUUUUAAAGAUCCUGUUAUGAUUGAAAAAUGGUUUUGGCAAAUAACAAUGUAAAUACCAAAUGUAUACUUUGGAAAUCUUACAGACAGUGAGGUUAUUUCCUGUCCA
This is a long non-coding RNA of Siniperca chuatsi (mandarin fish), 1589 nucleotides long. RefSeq lists it as uncharacterized. Lineage: Eukaryota; Metazoa; Chordata; Actinopteri; Centrarchiformes; Sinipercidae. The transcript has 3 exons. The record is from RefSeq and is a predicted model, not a curated record.